GGUGGCUCAGUGGUAGAGCGCUUGCCUUUCAUGCAUGAGGCCCUGAGGCCCUGGGUUUGAUUCCUCAGCACCA
Molecule: transfer RNA, 73 nt
Filed under: Dipodomys ordii (Ord's kangaroo rat)
Lineage: Eukaryota; Metazoa; Chordata; Mammalia; Rodentia; Heteromyidae
Rfam family: tRNA
About the family: Transfer RNA (tRNA) molecules are approximately 80 nucleotides in length. Their secondary structure includes four short double-helical elements and three loops (D, anti-codon, and T loops).
Source: Rfam by way of RNAcentral